RNAcentral lists this ribosomal RNA (379 nucleotides) under uncultured Rhodoferax sp. RNAcentral describes it as "bacterial SSU rRNA". It matches the Rfam family "Bacterial small subunit ribosomal RNA", at positions 1002 to 1382 of the family's 1533-position model. The record is from RNAcentral. Lineage: Bacteria; Pseudomonadati; Pseudomonadota; Betaproteobacteria; Burkholderiales; Comamonadaceae.
AGAGAUAGAGGGUGCUCGAAAGAGAGCCGUAACACAGGUGCUGCAUGGCUGUCGUCAGCUCGUGUCGUGAGAUGUUGGGUUAAGUCCCGCAACGAGCGCAACCCUUGUCAUUAGUUGCUACAUUCAGUUGGGCACUCUAAUGAGACUGCCGGUGACAAGCCGGAGGAAGGUGGGGAUGACGUCAAGUCCUCAUGGCCCUUAUAGGUGGGGCUACACACGUCAUACAAUGGCUGGUACAAAGGGUUGCCAACCCGCGAGGGGGAGCCAAUCCCAUAAAGCCAGUCGUAGUCCGGAUCGUAGUCUGCAACUCGACUACGUGAAGUCGGAAUCGCUAGUAAUCGUGGAUCAGAAUGUCACGGUGAAUACGUUCCCGGGUCUU